AGAGCGAACGCUGGCGGCAGGCCUAACACAUGCAAGUCGAGCGCCGUAGCAAUACGGAGCGGCAGACGGGAGAGUAACACGUGGGAACGUACCCUUUGGUUCGGAACAACCCAGGGAAACUUGGGCUAAUACCGAAUAAGCCCUUACGGGGAAAGAUUUAUCGCCGAAGGAUCGGCCCGCGUCUGAUUAGCUAGUUGGUGGGUAACGGCCCACCAAGGCGACGAUCAGUAGCUGGUCUGAGAGGAUGAUCAGCCUCAUUGGGACUGAGACACGGCCCAAACUCCUACGGGAGGCAGCAGUGGGGAAUAUUGGACAAUGGCGCAAGCCUGAUCCAGCCAUGUCGCGUGGGUGAUGAAGGCCCUAGGGUUGUAAAGCCCUUUCGGCGGGGAAGAUAAUGACGGUACCGCAGAAGAAGCCCGGCUAACUUCGUGCCAGCAGCCGC
This 442-nucleotide ribosomal RNA is filed under the name uncultured bacterium. RNAcentral describes it as "SSU rRNA". It matches the Rfam family "Bacterial small subunit ribosomal RNA", at positions 26 to 518 of the family's 1533-position model. The record is from RNAcentral.